Molecule: ribosomal RNA, 511 nt
Filed under: uncultured bacterium
Lineage: Bacteria
Description: bacterial SSU rRNA
Rfam family: Bacterial small subunit ribosomal RNA
Source: RNAcentral
CUUUCCCUUCGGGGCAUUGGAGACAGGUGGUGCAUGGUUGUCGUCAGCUCGUGUCGUGAGAUGUUGGGUUAAGUCCCGCAACGAGCGCAACCCCUAUUUCCAGUAGCCAGCAAGAAAGAUGGGAACUCUGGAGAGACUGCCCGGGAUAACUGGGAGGAAGGCGGGGAUGACGUCAAAUCAUCAUGCCCCUUAUGAUCAGGGCUACACACGUGCUACAAUGGCGUAAACAAAGGGAAGCGAAGUGGUGACACGAAGCAAAUCCGAAAAAUAACGUCUCAGUUCGGAUUGUAGUCUGCAACUCGACUACAUGAAGCUGGAAUCGCUAGUAAUCGCGAAUCAGAAUGUCGUGGUGAAUACGUUCCCGGGUCUUGUACACACCGCCCGUCACACCAUGGGAGUCGGAAAUGCCCGAAGUCAGUGACCCAACCGAGAGGAGGGAGCUGCCGAAGGUGGAGCCGGUAACUGGGGUGAAGUCGUAACAAGGUAGCCGUAUCGGAAGGUGCGGCUGGAU